AUGGAAGUUAGUGCACAUACCGGUGACGUCCCCGAAUCCCCUCAGAAUGUUCGCCAGGUUGUCCACAUCUCUUUUGAUGGGCGCAACAAACACAGCCGCAUCGUCCGCGUAAAGAGAGGUACGCAUGAUGACCCCUCUCCCACGAAUCUUGUGCAAAAGGCCUUUCCUAGUUGCCGUGUCGAGGAUUUGCUUCAAAGGGUCGAUGGCAAUGACAAAAAGGAGAGGAGAGAUGGGGUUCCCCUGCCGAAGCCCUUGGCCAUGCUUGAUGGGAGAGCCGGCUACCCCAUUCAAGAGAACCCUCGAAGAUGA
RNAcentral lists this ribosomal RNA (309 nucleotides) under Triticum aestivum (bread wheat). RNAcentral describes it as "partial small subunit ribosomal RNA". Lineage: Eukaryota; Viridiplantae; Streptophyta; Magnoliopsida; Poales; Poaceae. The record is from RNAcentral.